RNAcentral lists this ribosomal RNA (382 nucleotides) under uncultured eukaryote. Its description in RNAcentral is "partial 18S ribosomal RNA". It matches the Rfam family "Eukaryotic small subunit ribosomal RNA", at positions 592 to 976 of the family's 1831-position model. The record is from RNAcentral.
UGUAAGCGUAUACCAAAGUCGUUGCAGUUAAAACGCUCGUAGUCGGAAUUUGGCAGUUCCGGAUGUGUGCACGUCGUGUGCGCACUUCGCGGGGAUUGCUUUUGUGGUCUUGCGUAGGAUGAGGCACUUUUAUUAGUGAACGUCCUCAUGCAACCACUUUUUACUGUGAGAAAAUCAGAGUGCUCAAAGCAGGCAUUUGCCGUGAAUGUAUUAGCAUGGAAUAAUAGAAUAGGACUUGGUUCUAUUUUGUUGGUUUGUUGGGACUGAGUAAUGAUUAAGAGGGACAGUUGGGGGCAUUUGUAUUUCGGUGCUAGAGGUGAAAUUCUUAGAUUACCGAAAGACAAACUGCUGCGAAAGCGUCUGCCAAGGAUGUUUUCAUUGA